This 432-nucleotide ribosomal RNA is filed under the name uncultured Glomus. RNAcentral describes it as "SSU rRNA". It matches the Rfam family "Eukaryotic small subunit ribosomal RNA", at positions 569 to 1008 of the family's 1831-position model. Lineage: Eukaryota; Fungi; Glomeromycota; Glomeromycetes; Glomerales; Glomeraceae. The record is from RNAcentral.
AGCAGCCGCGGUAAUUCCAGCUCCAAUAGCGUAUAUUAAAGUUGUUGCAGUUAAAAAGCUCGUAGUUGAAUUUCGGGGUUAGUAGGUUGGUCAUGCCUCUGGUAUGUACUGGUCUCACUGAUUCCUCCUUCCUGAUGAGCCGUAAUGCCAUUAAUUUGGUGUUGCGGGGAAUUUGGACUGUUACUUUGAAAAAAUUGAGUGUUUAAAGCAAGCUAACGCUUGAAUACAUUAGCAUGGAAUAAUGAAAUAGGACGUUCGAUUCUCAUUUUGUUGGUUUCUAGGAUUGACGUAAUGAUUAAUAGGGAUAGUUGGGGCAUUAGUAUUCAAUUGUCAGAGGUGAAAUUCUCGGAUUUAUUGAAGACUAACUACUGCGAAAGCAUUUGCCAAGGAUGUUUUCAUUAAUCAAGAACGAAGUUAGGGAUCGAAGACGAU